This 83-nucleotide transfer RNA is filed under the name Pseudoclavibacter triregionum. RNAcentral describes it as "Pseudoclavibacter sp. 125703-2019 tRNA-Ala(cgc)". The record is from RNAcentral. Lineage: Bacteria; Bacillati; Actinomycetota; Actinomycetes; Micrococcales; Microbacteriaceae.
GCGCACGGCUAGCGGGGCCCUCGCGCCGCCGGCUCGCGACUAGCGGGGUCCCGACCCGGUCGUCCCGAUCGGCCCCGUGCGCG